CAGACUCCCAAGCACCUGCCCAUCCCACUCCAUAGCCCAGCCCCCCACUCUCAUCUACCAUAUGCCCAUCCCAGUAAGCAAGCCAACCACUAGAAUUUGACUGACAUGCACCUUGUGACUUACAUAAACCAGACCUCUACAUAGCCUACAUGUCUUCAUUUUGCUGAAGACUGCCCAUCAUCCUAGCCUGUUAUCUGUGAUAAAGCACACUGAAGUUAGGUAUGGAAUGCAUCCUUAUCAUUGCAGGCUUCCUACACAUGAAUGCUCUACACCUCCAUCUCCAUCUCCCACAACCUAGGUAACAGCUUUGAGACUCACUAAAAGUUGAAUCCCAGAACCCCCUGAAUGAUGUAGGCUAUGGGGCCACAUAAGACUUUGUCCAGGGUUACAUAGCACGACAACUUUAAACUAAAAAACCAACAUUUUUCACACAACUCCAGGUUGUACUACACAUUACAAGUGUCAUCAAGGGAUAACUACAAGUAGAAGCACCAUUUUUGGAUGGAAAAAACCCUUCAGGAAAGUAUAUGUAUCAAAUGUAACAUGUAGUAAUGUACCAAAGGAUGAAAAGUAAGGUUUUUACAUACAGUAUGUACAUACGUACAUAACUUUUUUUAUUAGGAAUUUCCAACCAAGUUUGAUUACAUGUUAUAAACCACUGUACGUAUGGUUAUACUGUAUGUAACUUACUAACAUACAUGACUUAACUUAGAUAAUUUUUUGGUACAUUCCAGAAUCCCAGAACCCCCUGAAUGAUGUAGGCUAUGGGGCCACAUAAAACAUAGCACGACAACU
This is a long non-coding RNA of Macrobrachium nipponense, 795 nucleotides long. RefSeq lists it as uncharacterized. NCBI's taxonomy places the organism in Eukaryota, Metazoa, Arthropoda, Malacostraca, Decapoda, Palaemonidae. The transcript has 5 exons. The record is from RefSeq and is a predicted model, not a curated record.